RNAcentral lists this ribosomal RNA (1454 nucleotides) under uncultured Planctomycetaceae bacterium. Its description in RNAcentral is "16S ribosomal RNA". It matches the Rfam family "Bacterial small subunit ribosomal RNA". Lineage: Bacteria; Pseudomonadati; Planctomycetota; Planctomycetia; Planctomycetales; Planctomycetaceae. The record is from RNAcentral.
AGAGUUUGAUCCUGGUUCAGAACGAACGCUGGCGGCGUGGCUAAGACAUGCAAGUCGCACGCACUAUGCUUAACCGUAUGGUGAGUGGCGAAAGGGUGAGGAAUAGAUAGGUAACGUACCCUGUGCACCGGAAUAGCGUCGUAAGUAGCAAUACUUACUACCGAAAGGGGCGGUAAUACCGGAUAAUGUUGUUGAUCGCAUGAUUGAUAACCAAUGGAUUUAUCGGCACAGGAGCGGCCUUUCUCCUAUCAGCUAGUUGGCGAGGUAAUGGCUCACCAAGGCUUUGACGGGUACCGGGAUUGAGAGAUCGACCCGGCACAUCGGAACUGAGACACUGUCCGGACCUCCACGGAGGGCUGCAGUAACGAAUAUUGGGCAAUGGGCGCAAGCCUGACCCAGCGACGCCGCGUGAAGGAUGAAGUCCUUCGGGAUGUAAACUCUUUUAGGGUGCUGAAAGUCCGCAAGGAUUGAUCUAACCCAGAAAAAGUCACGGCUAACUCUGUGCCAGCAGCCGCGGUAAUACAGAGGUGGCAAGCGUUGUUCGGAAUCACUGGGCUUAAAGCGUGUGUAGGCAGAUCAGUAAGUGUCUUGUGAAAUCCCUCGUCUCAACCGAGGAACUGCUGGGCAAACUACUAAUCUUGAGGUAGGCAGGGGUGCUUGGAACUCUUGGUGGAGCGGUGAAAUGCGUAGAUAUCAAGAGGAACGCCUGUGGCGAAAGCGGAGCACUGGGCCUAUUCUGACGCUGAGACACGAAAGCGUGGGGAGUGAACGGGAUUAGAUACCCCGGUAAUCCACGCUGUAAACGAUGCAUACUUGGUGUUGGGAACUCUGACGUUCUCAAGACCGAAACAAAAGCGUUAAGUAUGCCGCCUGGGGAGUACGGUCGCAAGGCUAAAACUCAAAGGAAUUGACGGGGGCUCACACAAGCGGUGGAGCAUGUGGUUCAAUUCGAAGCAACGCGCAGAACCUUACCUGGGUUUGACAUGCUUGGAUGGCUUUCUGGAAACAGAGUAGUCUGCCCGCAAGGGUGAAACAAGCACAGGUGCUGCAUGGCUGUCGUCGGCUCGUGUCGUGAGAUGUCGGGUUAAGUCCCAUAACGAGCGAAACCCCUGCUGUUAGUUACUCACUCCGCAAGGAGAGGACUCUAGCAGGACUGCCGGUGUUAAACCGGAGGAAGGCGGGGAUGACGUCAAGUCCUCAUGGCCUUUAUGCCCAGGGCGACACACGUGCUACAAUGGUGGCUACAAAGCGAUGCAAGGCCGCAAGGCGGAGCAAAUCGCAUAAAAGUCAUCUCAGUCCGGAUUGAGGGCUGCAAUUCGCCCUCAUGAAGUUGGAAUCGCUAGUAAUCGUGAAUCAGCCAUGUCACGGUGAAUGUGUUCCUGAGCCUUGUACACACCGCCCGUCAAGUGAUGGAAGCCGGAAAUACCCAAAGUCAGUUUGCAAACCCGCAAGGG